Molecule: ribosomal RNA, 253 nt
Filed under: uncultured bacterium
Lineage: Bacteria
Description: partial 16S ribosomal RNA
Rfam family: Bacterial small subunit ribosomal RNA
Source: RNAcentral
UACGGAGGAUCCAAGCGUUAUCCGGAUUCAUUGGGUUUAAAGGGUGCGUAGGCGGAAUUGUAAGUCAGUGGUGAAAGCCUGCAGCUUAACUGCAGAAUUGCCAUUGAUACUGCAAAUCUUGAGUACAUUUGAUGUGGGCGGAAUGUGUCAUGUAGCGGUGAAAUGCUUAGAUAUGACACAGAACACCGAUUGCGAAGGCAGCUCACAAAACUGUAACUGACGCUGAGGCACGAAAGCGUGGGGAUCGAACAGG